Molecule: long non-coding RNA, 42657 nt
Filed under: Setaria viridis
Lineage: Eukaryota; Viridiplantae; Streptophyta; Magnoliopsida; Poales; Poaceae
Description: long non-coding RNA (SVIR_LNC002197)
Source: RNAcentral
UUCUCCGUGCUUGCCAUGGUCAAACCGGCGGCCCGGUCACCGUCGCCCGGCCUAUAAAACACCACGCCGCUUGGUCACAACUCGAUCACAAGCGAUUCCUUCUCAUUUCGAUCGGCUCUCGAGCUCGACGAAGGUUUUGACCCUGCUCGAUCGUCUUUGUUCUGAAGCUCCGAUCCUCGUGGCAAGACCACCAGUGACCGGCCGGGUGGUGUUUGGUAGCUGCCGCCGUUGAGCGACGAUGGAGCCAGAGCUGCAGGCGGCGCUGGUGAAGGUGGGCGUGUUCGUGCUGGUGCAGGCGCUGGUGUACCUCAUCCUGUCGCAGUCCUCCACCGUGUUCUCGCGCACCAAGAGCCUCGGCCUCCGCCCCGCGCGCUCCCUCAGCGCGCGCCGCAUGGUCGCGAUGCUCUCCGACCUGCCGCUCGCCGGGGAGCCCUCGCCCGUCGCCGCCUUCGCCAGGACGCGGUCGUCGUCGUUGUCGUCGCCCCUGCUCGCCGCCGACCACCUGGAGGACUGAUGAGAGGCCGCCGGUCGGCCGUGCGGGCGUGCCGCGUAGCUAGCUUAGCUAACGAGCUCCUCAUCACCAUUCAUUCAUUCUUUUGAUCGAUCGAGGCGUGUGGGUUUGAGUACUUUGGUUGUAAGUUGCUUGGUUGUCCAUAUUUCAUGGAACUUCGUUUUGCGCAUGUGAAUACUACUUCGUCGCAGUUCAGUAAAAUCGUGCUUGUGUAAUUCUGUUUUGUGAAGAUUUUGGAAGGGGAUCAUCCCAUCUGUCAUCUGUGAAUUGAAAUGGGGGAUGAACUGAUGAUUAGACCUUCUCAUGCAAAGGAUUCGGUCGCUAUGAUUUAUCUUUUCAUGCGAAUCAUCUUCCUUUUCUAUCAGCAAAGGAAGUUAUGUGUUCCCCUAACAUGCGUGGAAGAACUAACUUGUUUUUUUUACCUUAAAUAAGAAACAUUAUUGCAGCAUAGAUCAAUUCCCAACAAUGGGUAAAUUUCAAAAACGCAUUAAAAGAGGUGUACCGGAGCGGUUCUCUUUUACUUAUAGUUUCUCGUAUAGUCUAUUAUUGUGAAUUGCUACAAAUAGCAUCAUCUUAAAACUACUUUGAAUGUAAAUAAAGAUACCACUUUUGUACACUAAUAAAAAUGCCUAUGAUUUGACUAUUUGUUGGCCAAAACUUGUAAUUUGACCCCUUUUUUAAUUUAAAGACAGAGAGAACAGUUGGUUCACCCUAUGAAGCCAAUCUCCAAAUUUAAUGCAAACAUACUAGCUAAAAGCUCAAAACCAAAUGAAAUUUGUAUCAUGUGCCAAUUGCCAUAUGAAUAUAGCAAAAUUGUCAAAAAGAGCAGGUUAUUGUACCUCAUUAUUAAAGACCACUUAGUCAUACCUUUCUAUGGUUAUCAUACCACAUGAUCUUUUUGACCGCCAUUGCUAUCCAACAUUAAUUCAUAAAUUUCCAUCAUACCAUUACCAUCAAACUCUGUUGCUAAAUGUCAUCUAAUAUUGUGACACUGCAUUGCCAAAAUAACAUUCACAUAAUCUAAUAGAUGCAUGAGUAAAAAAAAAAGAUUGUCGUGUGCCCUCUGAUUUAAGUUGUCGUAGUGAUCCCGCGACACCUUAAGGCCCUGUUUGGCACGGCUCCACUCCUGAACUCCAGCAACUCCAUCAAAAAAUUCAGCCAAACACCCCAACUCCAAAACUCCAUGGAGUUGCCAACUCCAUGGAGCUGUAGUGCAAAUGGAGGUGGAGUUUUGGAGCACCUCUUUUGCUGCUCCAGAAACCUCUCUUUUGAACCUUCUCGUGGAGUUGGUGGGUAAUUACCCACCAAUACCACUGGUUACACAAAAAAACGUUUCAUUCUAUUCUCCCUUCUAUUCUCCCGAGCCCCACUCGCCACCAGAGCCCUGCCCGUCGCCGCCCCCGUGGCCGGCCGGCCCCGCCGCCCGUCGCCGCGCCCGCCGCCCGUCGCCGCCCGCCGCCGCGCCCGCCGCCCGUCACCGCCCGCCACCGCGCCCGCCGCCCGUCGCCGCCCGCCGCCCGUCGCCACCCGCCGCCCACCGCCCGCCGUUGCCCGUCGCCACCCACCCAGCCGCCUGUCGUCGCCCGUCGCCGCUCGCCGCCCGUCGCCGCCUGUCGUCGCCCGUCGCCACCCGCCGCCCCGUCGCUACCCACCCCGCCGCCCGUGGAGGGUCUCCCGUGUGCGGCACAAUGCAGUGGAAAAGGGGGAAGAAGAAGAUGGGAUAGAGAGGAUGACAAGUGGGGCCUUAAUUAGGGGGCAACAAUGGCAAUCCACACUGAAAUCGAUCUUUUUUGGAGCUGAGAGCACCCAUUUAGCCAAACAUCUCAUUUUUGUUCUGGAGUUUUGGAGCGGAGCUGGCUCCAUGUGGAGUUCUGGAGUGGAGCAGCUCCACCCGGAGUUGGAGCCAUGCCAAACAGGGCCUAAAUGUUAGACUCAUUUUUCUGUUUAUUUUAUUUUAUUCAAAUAUUUAAAUGAAGUCAAAAUUUAAGUGUUAGCUCUUAAUCUAAACUUGUAAGUAUAUUAUAAAAGGGUAAUUAUUUUUUGGUAAUAAAAUAAAUAUGUAACUCUAUGUCAAAAUGGGUUCAAAAUUCACAUGGUUAAUAGAGAAUUGGGCAGAAAAAAUACAAUUAUCCGAAUAAAAUAUCUGACUGGAUAUUUGUAUGUUAUCCGACAAAAAAAAAGAUAUUCUACAAAUAUCUAUCUGUGUAUCGAUUUGGGCCAUUGGAUGUUUUUUUGGAUUGUUGAAAAUUGGCGACUGCUAAAGUUACAGUAGCAGUAGUAUAACUGCACUGGAUCUCAACAUCCAGGCAGCAGGCAUGAUCCAUCAUCCAUGACGUUAACUCGUGCAUACUUCUACCGUCUUGCCCACGCGUCAACGCAAGCAACGACUUGAGACAACCAGCUCUGAAAGUUUCCGAUUCAACCCGCGGGAUUAAACAAUCUGACAUUAACCGAACCAGAGCACGGCAAGUCGGCGACGAAGCAUCCCUGCACAUAUCACAUGCAUCUCGCGCCCGAGCUCUCCCGCACGGCCAAACCGGCGGCCCGGUCGCCGCUCCUGCCCUGUAUUACCGAGCGCUUCUUCCCGCCGCUUCGCCUCACAAGCAAACAAUCUCUCGCUCCAAACUCACGGAGGACUUGCUCGUUUCGCUCCAAAGAUUUUUUUCCAAGACGUGCAUUCACUAAGAAGAAGAGAAUUAUAACGACGCAACUUCAGAAGAGACCUCAAAGCGCAGAGUUAUAAGAAUUACUACCGACUACAACCUUACACAAACACAAUAAAAAAGAAACCCACAACACCACCACCACAUUAAACACAACAUAAAACGACUGGUACCUACAGGAGAGAGGGGCACCAAGAAUAUGCACACAUCACAGAUUGCCUAACAACCUGGAGCCAGCGGAGGUAAAGCGGGAGGGAUACAAGAUGAUGCCUCCACGGAGGAAGCGACGUCAACGCCGCCAUCGUCCGACUGUCCAUGGAGAACAAAAGGGUUCGGUGGCCGCAACAACGCUCCUAGCGAGGUAAGCUACGUAAAAGGACGUAACCGUUGUUGGCACCAGCGAAUGCUAGGAAAAACUUUCGCUAAGGCCUCCAAAACCAACUCCACACAGUUGGAUGAGAGCCAAUGCGAUGGUAAGACGGUGAGUAAUCCACGACGAUGACGAUGAGGAACAUCCGCAGGCAGAAAGAAGGCCCAAGAUGACCAUGGGGCGACCAAGAGGCGACCGCGACAACCCACAAAUGUGUAGGCUGUCGCGGGAUGCACCACCGCGGAUAUGAAACUGAGCAUUAAGGAGGUUGAUCCGGCGAGCAACGACCUUGGAGACCGAAGGAUCUGAGGCGCGGCAGAUCUGGUCGAAGAAUCACCGGAGCAUUUGGGGCGGAGCUCGACCAUGGGGGCGGUGGCCGGUUAUGGUUAGGGAGGGAGGCACAGGUGGAAGACCCGAUAGGGGAAACCACCAGUGAAGGAGGUGACCAAGGGGGAGCGACCGGAGCACGACCUGUGUGCGGUGGGGGUGAAGGGAGGAGGGGAAGAGGGAAGGGAAGGGGGAAGGGGUGCGCGUGGCCGCCAGCAUUCCGCGCGCGCCCAAUGCGGCCGCCGCCGCCUCCAGGGAAGCACAAUAGCGUGGAGGAGAUGUUGACGACGAGGAGUGACCAUCGGAGAAAGGAGCGACCUUGGAGCCUAACUACUGGAGCAAGGGUGAGGAAGAGAUCCCAGCGGGGGAACAUCGGAUCCGCCUGCGGUAGUGGCAGAUCUGCGCUGCCCCGGCCACACCUUGCUACCCUACCCCCACCACACAGUGCCUCCUGCAGCGAAGAAAGCGUGUCUUGAAGUCCCCGCCGUCCCCUUCCUCAUGGCCAUCGUGCAACCGGUGGAUCCCACAAGCAACAACGAGGUUAAGGAGAUGGAGUGGCAACGCGAGUGUCGGUGUUUAGACCCGGCAACCUACUAGGGGGUGUCCGAGGUAGUGUUUGGUCAGUGGGGCUCGCUGAGAUCAGAAACUCGAAGGUGAACACAGACACAAUAUUUAGACAGGUUCGGGCCGCUAGAUUGCGUAAUACCCUACGUCCUAUGUGUUGGUUGGAUUGAAUUCCUUUGGAGGGGGUCCCUGCCUCGCCUUAUAUUACCGGGGGUAGGAUUACAGGUCGGUUGUUUACAAGAAUAUUAGUCGAAUUCGACAUGGCGAGUUCUACUCUAAUUGCAUAGAGUAAUUUUCCUAAUCCUCGACUAGUUCGUGUCCUACCACGUAGACUACACCGUCCUGCACUGUAACAUCCAUGUCAGACAUGUAUCAAUGUCCAACCUUAUAUCUAGGACUAUCCAAACCUUCUGGUGGACCCAUAGAUGUUUGUACAACAAGCCCCUGAGUACUUUUUAGUCAAAUGCAGCAGUUCCAAGUACUUUUGUAGACCUCACCGACUAGUUGUGGUGCUCUUCGAGUACUCCAUCGUGUUGAGUCUUCAAAUGUACCCGAGCUGAAGCGUCCCCACAUAAGUAGAGACUAAAUGUGAUACAAAUAUCAGUCCCAGGAGGCUGAUAACACAUUUAUUCGACAGAUAAUUCAGUUACCGUACAACUCCCGGGGGAGUGGGCGUGAAAGCCACGCAACGAUAAUAAGUAAAUAAACAACAGCGGCUAACCAAGAGACUACCAAAAGACAGCACUCGGGCCUACACGGCAGCAGCAGCAUCUUGGAAAGGCCAACACCACAGGCAGCGUUGGGUGUGGACACAACCUCUACUCAAGGUCUUCGGCGAUGAAGUCCGGAUCUUCCUCUGUAGUUACGAAGCAAGGGUGAGUACGAACGUACUCAACAAGUCCAACCCCAUCCACGGAGGGGGAUACAAGCAAAUAGAUGCACAGGAUAGAUCAAGGAUAGGCUAGAGUUUAUUUACAGUAAAGCUAGAAUUUUCAACACAUGCAUAUGCUCGUUUUCAAACAAAUUUUUGUAAAGCUUUUCUUUAGUAACCGAACAUGGAGUGGGGUUGAUCCUACACAAAGGAUCCAAGUUUUAUUGCUAUCGGACUCCCCGUCCGUCAUAGCUCACGGCACAACUGCCAGACACUUCCAAAACCCAACACACACACAUACACACGCACGCACUCGUGACCAUCCAUGCCCAAGUACUAGUUAUGUGACCAAGCCGUAAUUCGUCCAAUGCCGUGGACACGGCUACCCGGAUAGGUUUUAACUCUGCAGAGGUUGUACACUUUUCCCACAAGUAGGGUACCGCAGCACGAUCACCUUAGUGCCGGUGCGGAUCCUAACAAAGCCAUUACCCACCUUAGCUAAGACUGGCUAGCCCUCACGGAAGCACCCAAGGGGUUCACGGCUCAUCCACGACACCGUAACUAGGACCUAAGUCACCAAGACCUUACUCCUGUUCCAUGGGCUCCCGUUGCUCGCCAGCACCUCUGAAGACUAACAGUUUAGCUAGUGGGAUUUAUGCUAAGCCGUUGCCCAUACAACGGUCGAGUGGUUGCACGAUGGUGGAAUUAGGCAAGAUGACACAUCAACUCGGUCCUUAACCACGACAAGAUGGAUAUCUCCCGACAUUGCUCAACCACCAAGGUACGAGCACAACACCCUGGCAUCCCACACGAGGAAUACCCAUCCAUCCUGUCUAUACUUCUUUUGCCUUUGAGCCCAGAAAGCCAUUUUUCUCGCUUGCACACACACACACAUUUAUUUUCCGAAUACACCAUUGUAAUAAUGAUUGUAAUUAAGUAGCAAAUUCCUAAGCAUUCUAGCGGUGGUUAUUGGCUAAAUAGAGCGAGCCAUAUUUAGAGACAACCAAAGGGUAACAAGGAAUGUUCAUAACAAUCAAGGGGUGGCUAUCCAACCAUGUAUUGCAAUGAAAUAAUAUGCAUUUUGUAAAACAGGCCAAUAGGUUGUGUUUGAAAAACUAGGUAUUAAGUAUGCAUCAAAGGGUGAAGCUGGACUUGCCGUCUUCAAAGCCUUCCUGGAGUUCCGGCUCGUGCUGCUGGUCCUCGGGCUCGGGCUCGCGUUCAAACUCCUCCUCGGGAUCCUCCUCGGGCAAUCCGCGAUCUAUGGCACGCACAAACGGGCACACAAAUAAAUAAAAGAAAGAUCGGUUUUUAACCGGGAGCUCCGAAUAGAAAACGGGAACGAAAAAUAGGUGGAAAGAUUAUUUUUGGGAAAUUUGGAUAUGUAUCGGCGAAAGUAUUCUGGAGGAUGAAGUGAUGAAAUUUGGGAUCGAUUGGAGGAAGUUUGGCACAUGAAAUGACAGGUUAAACACAGAUUAGAGGCUUAAAAAGGAGGUUUAGGACUGAUUCGUAUAAACCAGGGACCUAUUUGCGAAUACUUUUGGAGGUGGAGGGGUCGAUCUGUGAAACAGCCUUUGAGAGAGGUGGAAGGACCUAUGUGUAAUUUGGGGAAACUUGGGGUCGGAUCGGGAUUGGGGAAACUUUAGCUCUUCUUCUUCCACGGAGAGAGAGAGAGAGAGAGAGAGAGAGAGAGAGAGAGAGAGAGAGAGAGAAAGAGAGAGAGUGGGAAGUUGGGGUUCGACGGCGGCCGGCCGGCCGGGCUUCGCCGGCGGCGAGCCGAGGGCCGGGGGGUGGUGGAGGAAGGGAUGGAGACCCUAUUUUGCCUCCCUUACCGUGGGUGGCGGCACUGGGAGAGGGGCGGCCGGUGGUGGUCUUAGGCGGCGGUGCACGGCUUCGGUGGCAGCUUCCGGCGGCGGCGGUUGGCGGCGCGCAGAGGGCUCGGCACGGGUGGCGGUGGUGCUGGUGGAUGGGGCGGGGAGAUGGCCGGGCGCCGGGCCCUUUUAUAGGCCGGCGAGGGGAGGGCGGCCGGUGUUGCGGUAGGGCCGGUGGUGGCGUGUGACGGGCGGCGGGCGGUGCCGGAGGGCGGUAGGGGCCGGCGGUGGCGUGCGGCGGGCUGCGUCGGGGGCGGGGCCGGAGCACGGCGUGGCGGGCACGCCGGCGGCUGGCGCUAGGGCCGGCAGCUACGCCGGCGCUGGCGACGUGCGGCGUGCCUGCCGGCGACGUGCGGCGUGCGCGGUUCGGGCAUCAGGCGCCGGGGCGGCCCAGCGGCCGGGGAAAUUAAGGCCCGGGGGCGGGUCCGGCCAAGGGUGGAGGUGGAGCCGACCGGGAGGAGUGGCGCCAGUAACCAGGAAGAAGAAAGGGGGUGGAAAGAGAAGAAGGAAGGAGGAAGAAGAAAGAAGAAGGAGGAAGAAAGGAAGAAGGAAAAGGAAAAAGAAAAGGGAAGGGAAAACAAGAAAGAAAAAGGGAGGGAUCGGCGGCGUCCGCGGCACGCGGUCGGAGCACCCGCGCGGCGUCUGACCACGGCAUGCGGCGAAAAAUACGGGCACGGAUAAAAUGAUGGAGGGCGGCUUGGGUGCCGGGACGGCGAAAUUGCCGGGAAGAUUUUCGAUUUCUGGGAGCUCAGCGGUAAAAAGAUUUUAAAAACAAUUUUUAACGGGUGAUUUUAGUUGGUGAUUUUGCGGGUGUUACACGAGCACUGCCAUACGGCUACAAUGUGCUCAAGCCUCAUUUAACUUGGUCUUGUUGAGUCUUCAAAUGUACCCGAGCACUACCAUGCGGCUAUAAUGUGCUCAAGCCUCAUUUAACUUUGUCUUGAAUCUUCAAUCUUGAAGUUUUAUAUAGAAUUGUGAUGAAAGUUGCACUCCAUAUGGAGUAGCCCCUGAGCAUUAGAUUGAAUUGAAGAAUCAGGCUGAUAGUCAAUUUGUAAUUUGCAUCUCUUUUUCUUUAAAACCUAGAGAAAAAACUUUUUAGCCGAUGGGCACAUGGCAUACAGCCCUCGAGCCGUUACACGACUAGUUUGGUGGGUAUAAGGGUCAACCUUCGGUCAACAUGACCAUCCAUCAACAGUAACCUUAUCUAUUCCGAAAAUAGUGGUAACUGCCAAUCAAGUGCGAAAUCUUCGGAUCCAUUAAAACCAGAAUAUUUCUUUAUUCCCACCACUGUUACUGCGCUGUGGUUAUAAAUAACGGAGGAAAAUAUCCCUUCCGUUUUACCUUUGCCAUCUGCUCUUUCAAUUUUCACACUAUAGCCCUAGCUCCACCGCUGCCCGAUCCUCGAGCGCUAGCGCCGCCACCCCCCACCGCUUAGCCCCCGAGCGUAUGUGAAGGAAGACCCUCAUGGCAACAAGGAUGGGGAAGAAGGCAGCUACAACCAAGGUGGUGGAAGGUAGGAAGAAGAAGGCAGACAAGAAUAAGGAGAUUCAACUCCCUGCCCCCAAGUAUGGAAAACAUAUCAGACUGCUCUGCCGACUCCGGCAUGUAUCUGGAAGCGAUCCUCGUUGAAGGAGGAAAAUAUCAAGGCACUGGGAGUAGCCAACCUUCUCCUAGGAAAAUACGUCAUCAACUGGAGACCUGCCUUUAGCAACCCCUGGCCAAUGGAGGAGUACCCGGAGGAGACGGUAAUCUUCUCGCAUUUCAUUGAACGUGGUCUUGCCUUACCCGCCUCCGAUUUCUUCCACGGUCUCCUGGACUACUACAAGUUGGAACUUGUUCACCUCAACCUCAAUUGCAUUCUGCAUGCCACAAUCUUUGUACAUUUGUACGAGGCUUUCCUGAGGAUCCAGCCCUACUUCCAGCUCUUCUGCAAGUUCUUUCAUGUCAAGCCACAGCCCAAGAUGCAGCACACCGAAGUAGUCGGUGGGGCUGGAAUUCAGAUGAGGGAAAAACUCAAGAGCCUUUACUUGACUACGAGUUGAUUGACUCACAUUUUGGAUGGAAGGAGAAGUGUCUCUACAUCGGCAACCAUGACCCCAAUCUCCCCAAGUUGACAGGCUAUCGCCCGACUUGGAACAACAGGUGGAUGGACGAGCCAAACCAUGGAGAUUGCUUGCAGCUACCCAAGCUCCUGGACAGGAUAGCCAAACUCAAGCAAGAAGGGCUAAUAGGAGUCGGGGUAGCCUUUAGUUUCAUGAAGCGGCGAGUGCAACCCUUACAACUGCAGUGCACCUGGGGUUAUGACUACUCAGGCGUCAACGACCCAUUCAGAAUGUCUUCGGAAGAACUCAGUGUGGACGAGGUCAUGGCAUGGUUGAGGCGCCUUUUCAAAAAUGCAAGUGAAAUCUCGACGAUUGUGCGGGAGUUCUGUGCUGCCAACCCAUCAAGAGCUGUAAGUACCCGUGGCCGCAACCCCCAAGUACUCAUUUUGGUAAAUUUUGACGUACUGACUUGUCUGCCUGUGUAGGAAGACGUACACUUGUACUGCUCCGCUCCUCAUGUUCAUAUGAUAGCGAGCGAGAGUGAAGUCACGGAGGAGGAAGAAGAAGAAGAAGAAGAAAUCAAGUCCUUCAGCAGCUCUGAUUCUGAAGCUUCGGAGGACUUUGUGCUCAAGGCCCGACCAUCUAACAAGGCUGGGUCAUCCUCCGGAUCAUUGAAGCGUGCAGCUGAAGAUGAUCUGGAGGCUGCACUGGCUCCGCCGCCAAGGAAGAAGUGGAUCAUCACUGGGAAGCGCACUGUGAGGAAGCCUCUCACUGCCGAAGACGUAGCUCCAGUGUAAUAAUCUUUGAGGAAGGGAAAGAUCUUGAUGAUCGAGUACUAGUAAAUGAAUCCAAUACCACCAUGUCUACUCAAUAUGGCAUUGGUGGUUUGCAGGUAGUCGGGAUGGUGACCGAGGUGAACAGGACGUCUACUGAAGUCGUGCAAUAGCAGCUACCAGCAAUCAAGGAGUUCAUCGAGAUUGAAGAUGAUCUGGAACCCCUCGUUGCUAAGGUGGACCCUACCAGUGCAAGGACUACUUGAGAGACAGAGGCGGCAAUGAAGGCUGGCGAGGAUCACGCUGCAACCCAACAAUCCACAUCAAAGACGCUGUCUCCAACCAUCCAGCUUGUCAAGGGAGCCCUCUCUGAAGUUGAGGCGAUCCUCAAAGUAAGUAUUGUUACUGCUGUUGAGUACUAAUUGUAGUUUGUUAUGAACUUGUUUUACAUCUCUGACAACUUGUCUUAUAUAGGAAAUCCUCUAGCGUGGAGCUUGGUGGUCCAAGCCCAAAGCCCGUGGCCGGUGGCAAUAGCCACUCGGUCUAGGACAUCGCUCUUGCACCAACAAGCCUGCUGCCAGACAACCUGCACCGACAACACAUCCAGGUGCCAUAUCUCUUAUUGCCGCAUUGAUGCAAGAUCUAAUAUCUUCAUUAACUGAUGUUGUAGUGCCAACCCCCGAGCAACCGGUGCCCGAAGCCAUAGUGCCGACUACCUUUGGCACUAUGGCUACUCUCGUAGCCUCAAGCCAGAGGCAAAAAUUGAAGCAGCGGAGGUACUGGAAAUCGUGACUGCCAUCCCAACUUCCAAGCUAGGCCCGUCAACAAGUUUUUCCUUGGUUCAACUCAGCGGGGCAGAUGCUGAAGCGCACAGGGAGCCAUUGAUAGCUGAAGGGGUUAACCUUGAAGAUAUUCAAUUAAUCGACGACCCGUGGCUCAACAUGGAGAUGGUGGCCGGGAUGACAGAAAUGUACCGCCGUGUAGGCGUAUAUGCGGAGGUAAGUUUCCUCCUACUUCGCCCAUAACUUGAAAUCAGUACCCGUACAUUGACACGAGUACUUGUUCUAUGGUGCAGGAUGUCAUCAGGCACUCCCGGAGAAAAUCUAAGAUGCUCCAGGGCUAUGGGGACAUAGUAAUCCGUCUUGAGGCACUUGCCCAGGAGCUUGCGAAGGAGAGGGUGUACUCCUCCCAAAUGUUGAUGAAGUACGACAGACAAGCCACCGAGUAACAGUGUCCAAUAGUUUGAGGAGGAGAAGGACCGUGUCAGGAAGCGGAACAAGUCACUGAAGCAGCAACUGAGGGUAAUUGGUAUUUUCCCUUAGUCUUUGAGUACUGAUUCCACUUUGUGAUGCUGAAUUUCCUUUGAAUUAUUCCUGCAAUGCUCGAGAAAACAAAGGAAGAUCUGCAGGCCCGAGUUGUUGACUGGCAAAACUCCUACUAUCGGUAAUGGACCAGCACGAAAAGCUAUCUACGAUAUAUGAAAACCUGGACCAUUGCCUACAGAAGUAGAAGAAGAUGCACGAGGACAGUGAGGUUGACUUGGUCAACAUCAUGAAGGCCCUCCAGGAGCGCAAGGCCGAGCUUGAGGCUACAAACCUUGCCCUGAAGGAACUAUCCAAAGUAGCUCAGCCUAUUGCGGACAUGGUGGAGCCCCCAGCUGAGGGUGUGGAGCCCCGCCCUUUGUUCGAGAUACUCAAGCAUGUUCUAGCAAAGUUCACUGGCUAUGUCCAGAAGAUAGCAAAGUCGGUCUCUAAGCAGCUGCUGGCCUUCGUGAAAUCCUUCUACCCGCAGGCGGACCUUGCCCCUGUCGCGAAAGGGAUAGCGGAGGACUGCUCAGAUGAGCUCUUCCAGUAGUACCUACAGGAGAUGGACCCUAUCGCGAAGGAAGUCACGAAUCACUUGGACCUUGAGUAGUCUUUGUAAAAAAUGAACAUUAGUUCUUUGUAAUGUAAACAUUAUAUGAAUGAAAUGUAAAUAAUUCUAAGCCUUGUUGCAAUUUUACUACUUUCGACUUGUUGUUUUUUAGUGCAUCUUACAAACUACCCUAAUGAUUGCUCAUACAGUAGAUGUAAGUGUCUGCGUGCAAGGCUACUUUGAUGAGCCUCUUCAGAUACACGAUGUAGAGUACUUUAGGAUGCGACUCCUUUCUGCGGAGUAUGAGUACUCGAGGUAUCUGGGUAGUCAGACCUCUUAGGCGAGUAGACUCUUCAGGAUUCCUUUGACUGGAGUCGAUCUUUACAACCUAUCUAGGUUGUUCUGAUGUUGUGCUCUUGAAAACCUGGAACUAUAGAACUUUUUAUUACAAGCCGCGACUAGACAGACUUAUCUAGCAGAAAGUAACUCAGGAAGUUUAGUUAACUCCUUUAUUGCUGACGACUUCUUUUUUGGAGGCCGCCGAGGGACAGACUUGUCCAGUGAGUUGAAUAACUCAUGAAUUUAACUGCGAGCUUGUCUUUGCAAGCCGCUUUUGGACAAUUUUGUCUGAUGAGUUGAAUAACUCAAAAGAUUCUUUGCAGACUUUUUUUAAAGCUGCAUGUAGGCAAUUUUACCCUACAAGAUGAAUAGCUUUGUACAGACUUGUUAUUACAAGCUGCAGAUUGGGCGAUAUUACCCAGGGAGCUGAAUAGCUCUGCGAAAUUGCUUUUGGAAACCGUAAUCAGGCAGAAAUAAGUAGUUAUUUUUUGAUGAAAAAUAAGUCUACUUUAUUAUAUUGUAAUUAUACAGCUAGGGUCAAUGGCCAAUUUACAUGAAUAUGUAAACUAAGGAUAAAAUUGAUAGAGUUGCUCGAUGUUCCACGAGUUGUCGAUGUCUUCACCAGAGAGAUGUUGGAGCCUAUAUGACCCAGGUCCAGUGACCUUGGAGAUGAUGAACGGACCCUCCCAUGGUGAGUUUAGCUUGUGCAGUUCCUUGGUGUCUUGGAUACGUUUGAGGACCAUAUCGCCUAUAUUGAAUGAACAUUCUUUCACGUUGCGAUCAUGAUAGCAGCGAAUUCCUUCAAGGUACGUUGCAGAUUGGACGAGUGCUGCACAACGAGCUUCUUCGAGGCUAUCUAAGUCUGGACGCCUUGUUUCUUGUACUGCGCCCUUCUCAUAUUGCUCGACUACUGGACAUUUUCACAUGACGUCGCCGGGGAGGAUAGCUUCUAAUCCGUAGACUAGGAAGUAGGGCGAUUGCCCUAUAGGCUUGCAUGGCUGGGUACGAAGUCCCUAGAGGAUAUUGGGUAGUUUCUUGAGCCACUUGCCCCCUUUAGUGUUUCCAAUAUCAUGUAGUCUUUUCUUGAGAGCUUCCAGUACCAUCCCGUUGACGUGCUCAACCUAGCCGUUGGCCCGCAGAUGAGCGACAAAGAUAUACCAGACGUUAAUCCUGCUAUUCUCGCAGUACUCCCAGAACUCGUGGUUGUUGAAGUUGGAGCCCAGAUCUGUUAUAAUGCGAUUGGGGAAGCUGUAGUGGUGGACAAUGUCGUCGAGGAAGUUGAGUACUCUAUCUGCCUUAGGGCAAGUUACUGGCUGCACCUCGAUCCACUUGGUAAACUUGUUGAUCACCACUAGUACUUGGCUGAAUCCUCUAGGUGCGGUAGGCAGUGGGCCAAUUUUGUCUAGCCCCCAGCAUGCAAAAGGCCAAUAGGGUGGUAUGGUGAUCACCUUGUAGGCAGGGAUGUGUUGUUGCUUGGUGAAGAAUUGACAUCUUUGGAAUCGACGGACUAAUUCCUCGGCGUUAGUGAGAGCUGUGGACCAAUAGAACCCUACUCUAAAAGCUUUGCCCACGAUCGUUCAUGAGGAUGCUUGGUUGUCGCAGAUGCCUUUGUGAAUUUCCUCCAAUAUAUACUUGUCGUCUUGUCAUGAGACGUAGUUCAUGAAUACUCUAGGUGAUACGCCUCUUUGAUAGAGCUUGUCUCCGACUAGAACAUAGUUCUUGCCGCGUCAUGAGACUUGUUCUGCUUCUAUUUUGUCUGGAGGUAACUUGUGCUCUUUGAUGUAGUUGAUGAAAGGAUUUCUCCAAUCUACGUCGAUCAUCAUAACUUCCUGAUCUGAUGCGUCUUGACCUAGAUCGGUGGUUGUUGAUGGCGUCGGCUCCAUUAUGGAAGGCUUGUGUACCUCAUGGACGAAGACCCCAACUGGAACUUGAGCACGAGUAGAUUCAAGCUUGGAUAGGACGUCCGCGGCAACGUUGUUGUUGUUGUGAGCUACGUGGUGGAACUCUAGACCAGAGAACUUGUUCUCUAGCUUGCGUACUUCCAAGCAGUAUGCAUCCAUGUUGUCCUUAUGUCGCUGUAGACCAACAAUCGCUUGAUUCCUAGCAAAACUGCCAGGCGGAGCUCGUGUAGAAGCGCUUCGUAUUCGGUUUCAUUGUUGGAUACCUCCGAGAAGAUUUGCAACACAUAUUUGAGUUAUUUGCCUUUGGGAGAUGUUAAGAUUACUCCUACGCUGGCGCCCUGGAGCUUGAGUGAUCCGUCAAAAUAUAUAACCCAAUGCUCUGGGCGCUGUGCUAGAGUUGGUAGUUGAUUUUCCCGCCACUCUGACAUGAUUGACUAGUGCCUAGGAUUUGAUUGUAGUCCUCGACUUGAAUUACAGGGACAAUGCUUGGAGUUGUACCACUCACUUGGAUAUUCUUCUUAUUUCAUCCCGAUUGUGGAGGAUUUCUCGUAGAGGGAAGUCUGUGAUGACGAAGAUGUUGCGCUCCUGGAAGUAGUGUCGUAGCUUCUGCAAGGUGAGUAGUAUUGCGUAUAGUAAUUUCUGAACUGGCGGGUAUCUGGCUUUGGAAUUUGACAACACCUUGCUGACGAAGUAUACGGGCCUCUGUAGUUUGUAUACAUGGCCUGGUUCCGGUCUUUCAACCUCGAUCGCCGUACUGACGACAUUAGUAGUUGCGGUGAUGUAGGGCAGCAAGUCUUCAUUGGGGUUUGGCGCCGUGAGGACCGAUGGCUUUGAUAGGAAGUCCUUCAACUGUUGCAGGGCUUGGUCUACCUCCUCGGUCUAUUGGAAUUUGUCUUACCGCUUGAGUAGUUUGAAGAAGGUAGUCCACAUCCUCCAAGCCUUGAGAUGAAUCUGUUAAGAGCCGCCAUGCAUCUAGUCAGCUUUUGGACAUCCUUGAUACACUAUGGGGCGUGCAUGUCGGUGAUGACAGAGAUCUUCUCAGGGUUGGCUUCAAUUCCUCAGUGACUGAUGAUGAACCCGAGUAGUUUUUCGGAGGGUAUGCCAAAAACACACUUUGUUGGGUUUAGCUUCGAACAGAAUUCUCGCAAGCUUGCGAAAGUUUCUUCUUAAUCCACAAUCAAGUCAUCGGGGUUUCUAGUCUUUACGACCACAUCAUCCACGUACGCCUCUACGUUGCGGUGUAACUACUUCUUGAAGCACUACUGGAUUGCCCGUUGAUAGGUAGCGCCUGCGUUCUUUAGCCCGAAAGAUAUUGUAGUGUAGCAUAAAGCUCCAUACGGGGUGAUGAAUGCGGUCUUGAUUUGAUCUUCUUCCUUGAGAGCUAUCUGGCGAUACCCUGAGUAGCAAUUGAGGAAAUAGAGUAGGGUGCAUCUAGCUGUUGAGUCGAUUACUUGAUCAAUCCUGGGAAGCCUGAAGGGAUCCUUUGGACAGUGCUUGUUGAGAUCCGUGUAGUCGACACACAUUCUCCACUCGUUGUUGUUUUUCUUUCACACCAGGAUGGGAUUGGCAAGCCACUCUGGAUGAUGGACUUCUUUUAUGAAGCCCGCCACGAGUAGUUUGGCCAGCUCUUUCUUGAUGGCUUCCCUUCUGUCUUGGGUGAAACGGUAUAAGCGUUGUCUUUUUGGUGUAGCUUUUCGAUCCAUAUUCAGUGAAAGCUUGAUCAACUCCCUAGGUACCCCUGGCAUAUCCAAUGGCUUCCACACAAAGAUGUCACGGUUGGCGCGGAGGAAGUUGACGAGCGCGCUUUCCUAUUUAGGAUCCAACCUUGAGUUAAUCAGGGCUGUCUUGGAGCUAUCACCAGUCUCAAGGUCAAUGGCUUUGAUGUCUACUUCACUUGCUGGCUUGACCUUGGUUGGCUCCAACUUCUUUUCUGGGAUCUCCGGUUCUAAUGGGGACAGUUUCUUGGAUGCGGCAAAGACUUGCAUCAUCGAAUUUGGCACUUGUGUAGUUGCUGUUAGCUCCACGGCUUCCGUGUCAUAGUAGUAUGAUGUUUUCAAGUCUCCGUGCAGGGAGAGUACUCCCUUGGGUCCCGGCAUCUUGAGUACUAGGUACACAUAGUGCGGGAUGGCUAUGAAUUUGGCGAAUGCAGGUAUUCUAAGGAUAGCAUGAUACGAUGUUUCAAAGUCUGCCACCUCAAACCAGAUGUACCCUAUCCGGUAGUGUUCUUUGAUCCCAAAGGUAACUGGCAAAACCACCUGUCCAAGGGGUACAGCUGCGUUGCUUGGAACAAUCUCGUAGAACGGAGAGUUCAUUGGGGUGAGCAUGUUAGUGAUGUCGAGGCCCAUCUUUCUCAGUGUCUUGGAGAAGAGUACAUUGAGACCGCUACUGCCAUCGAUGAGUACUUUGUUGAGUCUGGAGCCAGUGAGUACUGGAUCCAGAACGAGAGGAUACCGCCCUGGGCCUAAGAAGCUACUCCAUUGGUCCUUCCUGGAGAAGGUUAUUGUCACCUCGAACCAUUUGAGGAACGUUGGUGUUCCCAGUUCAAUGGACAUGAUCUCUCGGAGGGCGAGUUUAUUGGACCGCUUAGUAGCAGUACCCGAUAUGCUGCCAAAGAUGAUGUUAAUGGUGUUGGAAGGGUUCUGGAAUUUGCCGUUAUCACCAUUGUCUUUGUCUUCCUUGGCCUUGCCCUUGUCUUUAGUACCAGAUGGUUCCGGCAGGUCUUUCAUGACUCUGCGUAGACUAUAACAAUCUAUCGCAAAGUGCGUAUGGUACGGGUGCCAUGAGCACUGCUUCUUCAGGAGCUCACUGAACGGGGUCCUGUCUUGAUUUCUGCCGCCACCUUUUUUGGAUGACUGUGACAUCUCCGUGAUAGUGUUGUUUGGCUUUCGCUUGCGGUUCUGACCUCCUGAGUAGUUAUUUCGGUUGUCAUUGUUGGGGCGAUCAUUGCGGUUCUUGUUGUUGCAUUGGUCAUUGUUCUUAUUAUUGUCAUUCUGGCCCUUGUUGCGAUUAGACUUGAACCUCUCGAUCUUCUUGUCUUCUUCAUCUACCCACGCCUGUACCAUGAUCUUAAGAUAUUUGACAUCACCAGGGCGUCUUGUCACGAAAACCUAGAACAUUCGGCAGUCAUAGAUGUCAUUCUAGAAGCAGUCUAUGACAUCGUGUUCCGUGAUAUCCAUGAUUGUGGCCUUCUUGUUGAAGAAGCGACGUAAGUAACUGUGCAGGGUCUCGCUUUCUUGUUGUUUGACUUGAGACAAGUCGAUCUUGUUACCAUGACACUGCAUCGCCCCUGUGUAGUUGUUUGUGAACGCCACCUUGAGGUCCAUCCACGUGUUGAUGGAGUUCUUAUCUAGUGAUUCGAGCCACGUGAGUGGUGCUGCUUCCAUGCAGAUGGGGAAGUAGAUGAUCUUGGUGUUGUCGUUUCCCCCUGCCACCUAUACUAAUAGUGAGUAGCACCGCAGCCAUUGGAUUGGGUCCUGCUUGCUAUCGUACUUGGUGAUAUUCGAAGGUUUGAAUUUCUUCGGAAUAAUUGUCCUCCGUCUUGGUGAUAUUAGCCACGUCUUGAGAAGGUGGGCAAACCGUGAGAAUCCUCUCCUAGGUACUCGACUUCUUACUCGUGUUCACGGUGGCGUCCGUUGAUGAUUGUACAGGCGUCAUGGCCGGCGUUGAUCUUGUUACAAAGAUCCUGUACUGGGUGUUCAGGCUCUGGGUUAGCCCCACGGUGGCCACGGCCUCCCGAGGGUCCUGCCCGACUACCCUCUACUCCAGUUUGGCUUGGUCUGGUGCCUUCAAUUGGACUUAGUCUGGAUGGAGUGCACCUAUGGCUACUUCCAUGCUGACUACGAUGGGAUUGUGUUGAAGUGAAUGUAUCAAGUUUUGCUAAUCGAGUUGUUUAUACGCAUGCUCCACCAGUUCAGCCAAUUGCCUAGUGGAUUUGUCUUGUAGCAUUGCGCAGGUAAUAAGAUCAAUGGAGGCGAUGGUGGCAAGUGGAGUACGAUGUUGACGCGAUUAAACUGCUUCAAACGUGUUAUCCAAGAUCAUGAUUGGCAAGUCUGCUGCAAGGCGGUGACAGCGCUCUGCUCUUGCGGCGUUUCUUACUCGUAAUCGAGUUCUUUGAGCUUUAGUUUCUUCUCCAGCAAUGUUGGCAGUGAGCUCAUCCUGCGAGACAUCAUCUGGGUGAUGUUCAUGCUGUGGAUUUGUCUCUGGUUGCUCUUCUUCAUCGCCUUCUUGUCCAGCAAUGAGAGCUAAGAGUUCUCAUUCGGACGGUAGCUUCCCGAGCUUGACGUGAUGACCUCUGUGGUACCUUCUUCCUCGUAGAUGGGCGAUAGAGGAGCUCCCUCCUGGUAUGGGUGUUAAGGUAGGCGAUGAGGUGUGAGUCGUCAUUUUUGACGAGAGCAGGUGGCUUCAUGUUGGGCCAGUAGAUGAAUCUGCCUUGUGGAGUUGAUGUGAUUAUCAGGUCCUGUUGUGGACCUGAUAAAGGGAUCUCCUCAUCCGGGUCCGAGUAGUAGUUGGGGUCCUCGAUCAUAUUCGUGUCGGAUUAUGAUUUGGAUAGGUUAGCUUGGUAAAUAGCAACCGUGUUUCGGAGUCCGAACGGGAGUUGACUUGGGUUGUAGUCCGAUUUGAACGAUGGCUUAAGUGCCGGCUCGUGAAAAUCAGUCCGACUAGCGGGAGAAGACGAGUUGUACUCGAACUCGUCCCCCAGCCUCUGACUAAGUCAAAAAUUGAAAUUUUGCUGAAAUUCUCGACAAAAUCCUCCAGAGGUUGAUGUUGCAGCUUCAUAGCUUGCUGCUUCUUCUCCGGGGAUGGCGCAAUGCAGCGGUGGAAGUUUCUAGCACCAUCUAUUGGUGUUUUAACCCGGCAACCUAUCAAGGGAGUACCCGAGAUAGAGUUUUCGUUGGUGGGUGUCGUUGAAAUCAAGGAGUUGAUAGUGACGCAAGAACAUGAUUUAGACAGGUUUGGACCGCUAGAUCGUGUAAUACCCUACGUCAUGUGUGUUGUAUGCUUGUAUUUGAUUGAACCUGUUUUGAGGGGGUCCCUGCCCGCCCUUAUAUAUUGGGGGAGCAGAGUUAUCAGGCAGCCUUUGGUACAAGAGUACUAGUCGGACAAGACUAUAGAGUCCUACUCUAACUCGGCAGAGUAGUUUCUUUGUAUUCCAACUAGUCCUUCAGGAGUUCCAUGUAGUCUUCAUUGCCCUAUAGCGUAGUCUUCAUGUCUUGAUACAUCUCGAGUACGUCCCCUUGAGUGGGUCUGUACAGACCCUCUGGUGGGCCCGGGCAUGUAUGGUCGACAAGCCCCUGAGUACUUUGUAGUCAAAUGAAAGAGCUCUGAGUACUCAACAGACGUUACUUGACUAGUUUUCGGUGCUCGUUGAGUACUUCUGUUGUGGCUAGUCUUCGAGAACUCGGAUGCUGUCAUGUGGCUAGAAGGUACUAUUGCCUCAUUCUGUCACUGGUUUUGAGUAGUUUGUCUUCAAGUCUUUAUAUGGAAGUGCGAUGAAACUCGUUCUCCAUAUAGAGUAGCCCCCGUGCCUUAGGUUGAAUCGAAUAAUCAGGCUAAGGGUCAAACUGAAUUUGCUUCGUCUUUCCUUUGUCUGACGGGCAAGGUGUAUGCAUGCCCUGAGCACUUUGAUUGACUACGUUCAGGCGAUGAAGGGGUUAACCAUGAUCAACGUAACCGUUGGACUUCAAUCUCGCGAUAGAUCUUGAGAGUAUCAGACCGUUAUGAAAUUACUCGCGGCGUUCCCAGAAUCUCAAGGCCGUUUUUAGAUCUGUUGAGCUGUUAUAAAAGAUAAGACCGGUAGCCUCUGUGGUUUACACUUCUAGCCAUUCGCAUCUGUCAUUCUCCAUCUUGAAAAAACCCUAGCACCGCUGUUUGCAUCGUCGCCACCGUCAGCCAAAGUUAGCGACCUCAAGUCGCUUUCUUUUCCUCCCCUUACACACCCCUUGGUGAUACGUGUGAAGAAGAUGGGGAAGAAAAUUGAUAAGUCCAAGGGAAAAAUUGUGGAGAGAUCGAUGAAGGAAUCCAGGAAAGGGAAGCAGCCACAGCUUCCCCUGCCCAAAUAUGGGCCUACCGAUCAGACCGCCCCUCCGAAUCAAGCACCUGCUUGGAAGAUGUCCAUCAUGAAUAAAUAGACCAUCCAAGAGUUGGUGGAUGCAAAACUGUUGUAGGAGGAGGCUGUCGUGAAUUGGAGGUGCGUCUAUGCCAAUGCCUGGAAUUUUGAGACCCAUCUAAAAGAGACAGUGAUUUGGGCUCAUUUUGUGGAGAGAUGACUCAUUGUUCCUACAUCAGAGUUCUUCAGAGGUAUCCUUAAUUUUUAUAACCUUCAGCUUGUUCAUCUGAACCCCAAUGGGAUAUUGCAUAUCGCAAUCUUUGUGCACCUCUGAGAAGCGUAUAUGGGGAUACAGCCCCAUUUUCAUUUGUUCCGGAAGCUUUUCCGCUACAAGCCCCAACCUAGUCAAGAUAGGAUGGCAGUACUUGGAGGCAUGGGGUUUCAGCUAAGGGACUCUAAUCUGUAUUUGGAGUAUGAGACUCCGGUGUCCCAUGGCGCGUGGAAGGAACAGUGGUUUUACAUUGAGAACAUUGAUCCUCCAAUGCCAGUGAUCACCGGGUACCGGCCAAAGUACUCAAGCAAGUGGCUCGAAGAGCCUAGCAUUGAGGAUAGUCAUCAGGUGGCCGAGUUGCUGUAGAGGAUUGCAGAGUCGAAGAAGGCAGGGCUGACUGGGGUUAAUGUGGCUGCCACUUUUUUGAAAAUAAGAGUACAACCAUUGCAGCUGGGCCGAACUUGGGGCUAUGAGUACUCACAUUUUGAUGAUCCUUCGCGGUUUGAUGAUCCUUCGCGGUUGAUGAACCAUUGCAGCAGUUGAAGACUUGUUGGGCAAGUUUUUCAAGAAUUUCCAAGGAGUGCCCGAAGUUGAUGAGUCCGUUCAAGAGUUUGACAGCUGGUAUAAACGCAAAGAGGUAACUUGCUUUCCUUUUGAGUACCCUAAUUAGUAGUCAUCAUAUUUGCCAACCAGUAAUUCCUUAUGCAAGAGGAUGUCCUUUUAUACUUUUCUCCUCCUCCUCGUGAUGUUGAUGUUGCAAAAAACGCGAGAUCUAUGUACUACGUGCGCUUGCUUGAUGAUCCCACAGAAGAGGAGAAGGAGGAUAAGGACUCUGAGCUGCUUGGCGAUUCAAAUAUAGCGUCGUCUGACUCUGAGUUGUCUGAUCAUGCUUUUGUGCAGUCUCGAGUUCUCAAAGGUUAUCAAAUUGGAACCGACACCUCGAAGCGUCUAGCGGGAGAUGCUGGUGAUGAAGAUGUGCAGGCUCCAAUGCUGAAAAAGAGACGGACCGUAGUGAAUAAGCGAUCGGUCAGCAAGCAUUUGGAGACGUUCAAAGCUCCGCUGCCAGUAUUUACCUUUGUUGAGGAGCUAUUUGAUGAAGUAUGAGUACUUAUAUAGUUUCAUUGAGUAGUCUAAUUGACUUGUUUUGUGCUUCCAGGUUGUUGAUGAUAUGGAUGAGGACAUUGAAGAGGCCGCGGACGCGAUGUACGGAGCUACCGAGACUACUUCUGAUGAUGUAGCCGUGAUAGCUCAAGACGCGGCUGCCAGCGUGGUUUCUUUGGAGAUGUCUGCUGAAGCCAUUGACCUUGAAGUUUCGAGUAGUGGAGCGGGCGACCCAUAAAAAGUUGCCAUAAGUGGAACUGUGAAAGCACCCGAGGCAGUUUCUGACGCCACCUUGCCUGAAGUCCCCGUUAGUGGUGAGUAUGCGAGUAUUGGUAGUAGUCGCGCCUAUGUUGUCUCUGAGUUGGUUCUUUCAGGUCUUGGCAAAAACACCGAGGAGUUGCCCCCCGUACCGGCUAAUAAGCCAGCUCCAAGUGUACUGCCAGCCCCCGUGACGAAGAUACGUUGAUGAGUUCCUCCCCGGUUCGCCAAGUAAGUACUCUAUUGUAAUAGUGUGAUUACCAACUUCAAUCAUUAAUCGCUUUAUUGAUCUUGAAUCGUGUUUGAUAUCAGGACUUCCCAAGAUAUUGUUCUUAAAGAAACGAGUUCGGAACAGGUUGAAAAUCCGUCAGGCGUGGACUCUACUGCGGCACCCUGAAAGAACGGCAAGGCGACCAGAGGAGGGUGAAUGGGAGCCGAUUCAAAUUUUCUCCAAGAACUUUGGCUAAAAAUCCACAAGUCUCUCUUCUAGCAAAAUCAAGUCCACUUAGCUAUGCAUGAGCUAAUGGACCUAGGAAUAAUGCUAGGAACCCAAUUUGAGAGUAGCGGAAGCAAGAAAGAGUCCAAACAAGCUUCGGAAGAGGAAGUUUGAAAACUAACACCUUUGUGUGGAAAAAUCCGGAAGAACCUUCAGAAUAUUCCAGACAUGUGGAGAUUUUCUAGAGAAAUCUUCGAAAAUUUCCGGAGGUCCGGAGGUUUUCGGAAUUAGGUCCGAAGAUUUUCGAAAUUCCAAAACAGCCUACGUGAGGAGGAAAGAAAAAUCCAAAACUCGAUCAAACGAACUCCAAAAAUCACAAAAUUUGAACCAUAGGCUCACAACAUAUUAAAAAAGCUCAUCCUAAGAAAUCACCCCCAAAAGAUUUUUCAAUCAAAGGGAAUUCCAGAUCAUGUAAAGGGCACUAUUUUUUCAUCCCCUAAACUUGAAUCACCGCGAUCUAUGAACUCGUGAGGUUUCAAUCAAAUCCCUUUGGUAGAAAGGUUCAACUCAUAUCCUAGUUCAUCUCCAAACAAUUGGUUCGACUCAAAAUAUCCCACAACUCAUGAAUCGAACAAAAAUAUGAAGGGGGUGGAGAAGAAGAAGCAAGAACGCGAAGAACACAAACGGAAAUUGCAAAUCCAAAUGGGAUGGAACAAGAUAGCACGAAAUAGAUCUUUGGAUUACUUCACCAUAUCCGGUUACAAGCCACUCCCUAGCACAAUCAAAGCUAGGAUAGCGAAAAGAUCAAACAAAGAUCCACUCUUCUCUUCCUCUCUCCCUCUACCAAAGCCUCUCACAAAACAAAUGAGUAGACUACCACCAACUAGCCCAAGCGGGAUGGCUACCCCAACAGCCCUCCCACAUAUAUAUUGACAUUUGGCCAAUGUCCAAAAUGCCCUUACAUUAAGCAUACAACUCAUAUACCCCCCAGGGGUAAAACCGUCCAAUGUUUUCUUCGUUCAUCGAACAGACAUGCUACCUUCACGACUUUGCUUCACCUCGAUGCAAGCUUUGCGAUGAUGCCACGUGCCCUCCUUCUCAAAGCUCCGGCCGCACCGGGCUCGCCUCCAGUUUUGAGGCCCAAACCGGCAAACCUACCUGCGCGAUGGUUUUGUGGUCCAAACCACCCAAACCCUCUACACACCCACCUGGCGUGACUCACCCCCAGUUUUGAGGUCAAACCAGUCAAACCCUCUACACACCCUCCUGGCAUGACUGACCCCCGGUUUUGAGGCCAAACCAAUCAAACCCUAUCGCAUGCCCCACAAGACGUGGCCCACCAACGUCGCGCAUGUCCAAUCUCCGCCAAUCCUUUGACGCCUCCAAGUCUUUCGCUCCCGGCUUCCGGGCCGCCUACUUGACUUGCUCCGUCCCUCUUGACUCGACCGACACCAUCUCCAUCACCGUUCAUGUACUCUUGCUCUUUCGUGCACCAUGUGGAUCACCCAUGACUCUGUCCAAACUCCUCAGGUCCCUUAGUCCAAGCCUACUCGUAUCCACCCUUCACAGCCCUAGUACAUCGGCAUGGACCUUUCGCGCUUGACCUUCACCUCAUGCCAAUGGCCGCCAUGUCGCAUCCUACACCUGCACAUCACAAGCCAAGAGACACAACACACAACAUACGGUAUACUCAAAAACCACAACACAACUCACACCUCCAGUUAGCCGUUAGCAUAAUCAAGCAUAUAUGAAAUAUGGAAUCAACCGGUAAAGCCUCAAAUCAUCUAGUCAAUCACUCAUCACAAAUAGACCAAGGCACUUCUCAACUUGGUCUCUCACACCCGUUGUCUAUCUGACAAGUGAAGAGCCGACGCAAACAGGUGUGGUGACUCUCGCAGCCACCAUACUAUGGGAUGUAAUUUGUUUGCCUGAGGAUCCAGCGCUGCUAGCCCCCGAGAUUGUUAACGACAAUCCUUCACCCGCAGUCGAGGUUGCAGCGACUACGACAGUGGCAAGCAUCGAAGAGAGGGCUGUAGUAGUGUUGCAGGGUGUCAUGGCAUCUGGGGAGGAAGUUGCGCCAACUGCUGAUCAUGUAGUGGAUAAGGAUAUUUCAGAGGCUGGAGCUUCUUUUUCUCAGCAGCCAAUUCUUACACCGAGUGUGAGGACUAGUAUAGCGACCGAGGCUCCGGGAUUGUCACAAAAUGUUGAAUUUUUGAAAGGCUCCUGGAAGAGCUGCCCCCGAUAUCAAAGUUUGUGAACUUGCAUCAACAGAUGAUGUCUUAUACUCAGGUGAGUUUUUAGUACUGCAUUUGAGUGCUUAAUUACAUAUCCUGGCGCCAAUUGCACUUGUGAAGAGUACUAAUUGUUUUAUUGUGCAGGAUUUACAUGAAAAAUCCUGCAAGAAUAUCCAAAUUGUCCAAGAACAGAGUGAGGUUGUGCGCCGUGUGGCGAAGUUGGACAAAGACAUUAUUGAGGAGCGCUGGCGCACUUCUGAUUUCUUGAAGAAAUAUCAAGAUGCUGUUGAGUCCUUUUGAAUUGAAAGGCAUGAUUUUGAACUGGAGAGGAGCCGUCUGGCAACACACAACAAAUCUUUGCAGCAGAAACUGGAGGGCGAGUACUUGUACUCAUAUUUUGUUGAUCGUAAUUUUGUAUUCUAUUGGCCUCUCUGACCGCAUUGUCUUUGUUCUUUAUAGAGCUAAAGAGUUAGGAAGCCAAACUUAACAGUCAAGUGCUAGACUGGAGCAAUGCUCAUAGUCGCGUCGCCAACGAGGUUGAGCAGCUCAAGGCUCAGUUGGUGGAGGCGAGGGAAAACUAUGAAAAAGAGAGGGGUUAGUGGUGAAACUUUGUUGCUACAUUAGUCGAGGCUAUGCUUGCUAUUAGAAGUCAUACGGUUUCUUUGCAGAAGAAAUAGCAAGAUCUUAAAGAAUUAUCUGACGCAGCGCAUGCCUUGGUUGAUGUGAUGGAGCCUCCCAAAGAAGAAGGAGUAGAGUCCUGCCCCUUGGUCAUGAGAUUGAGGGACGCACCGGCCCAGAUCACCAGUAUGGCGAAAUUCGUUUGCAAGUAGGUCUUAGCGAUCGUAAAAUCCUUUUAUCCAAAAGCGAAUUUGGCGUUGGUUGCCGACGGGAUCGCCGGAGAUUGUAGCGAUGAAACAUAUACGUAGUAUUUGGAGGAUCUGGAGCCGAUCGCCGAGCGUGUAGCGGGCUUUAUUAAUUUAGAAUAGUCUCAGGUUGCUGUAUUGACUUGUAAUUUUGCCGAUAGACUUGAUGCGUCUGAACAAGUAUCUGUUGUUUCUCUUGGGGUGUUGAUCAUUAUAUAUUCAAUGAAUACUUGCUUGCAGAUCUCCAAUGACUAGUCUUGCGAGUAGUCUUCCAUGUAGACCCCGAUUGAGUUGGUUAUUAGUCUUCCAUGUAGGCCCCAAUUGUUGCAUAUGGUUGUGGAGAGCGCACAUGUGAACGUAGUGAUUGUCGCAUUAUUGUCAUAAAGUUGCAAGGACACACGAGUGUACUGUGAAGAACUUGGCAGUUUGUGUUCUGAACGGUUCACGUGCAAAUUUUGAUUCUGCUCAGGCAGGCUUUCAUGUGGGUUUUGUCCUUGAGUAGGACAAGUCGAGUUACUGUGUAGUCACGGAUGCGCUUAUUCUGCCUGGCCUUCCAGCUAUAAAUAGUCCCCCCAACUACCGUUGCUGAGACAUAGAUCCGAGUAUAGCAAUGGUUGGCCUUAAGUUGCUUCUCUUUGAUAGUAGCAAAUUUCCAAUGAGCACCCCGGUGCUAGAAGAUUCCUCAUAGUGAGGUUCCACAUUCCCUCCACAAAUCUCCUCGCUAGGAGAGAUAACUGCGAUACUAGAAUAAUCCUCGUAAGAGGAUAACCAUGCUAGAGCUCGUGGGUGAAAGAUGAUGAGCUUCACGGUCUUUAUCCAGUUUUCUAGUCGAGGAUGGAGGCGUGGUGCUGACUGCUCACUCUCUCUGCAACGUCUCGGGAUGAGACUAAAGUACACAAUGUGUACUUCAAGUCCAGUUCUGAGUACUUGUAAGAGAGAAAGGGUGUUGAUGAAGGGCAGCGGAGCUGGAGUGCGUGGAGCCCCAGUCUCCAUCUAUGCCACCACCAAGGGGAGGAGAAGGGCACAACUGCCUAGAGCGCAACUUCCUUGCGUGCACUCCCUGCCUCUUGGCGGUUCUUCCUCAUAGACUGUGAGUAGUCACCAGGCUCAAGUGUAUCCUUGUGAUAUAAUAAAAACCUAGGACUUCUAUUAUAACUGCCAAUAGGCAGUUGCUUGUAGUCGUUGUUGUGCACUUGUGUUGUACUCUGAAUACUCCGACUUCUUAAAGUAGAGUUAUCUGUUGUAAUUCUGCAAAAUUUCGUUAAUAUGAAAGUUGCAUGUAAGAAAUGAGAUGAGUAGUUUUGUGUACUCUUUAUUUGUCUAUUGUAAAAGACUGAUGCUUAUGGAGCUGAGUAGUUCAUGGAAACUUGUUAGCCAAGAGAUAGCUCAAAUUGCGGUUGUAGGCCACUGUACGAAUUGUAGAGAACUCGUAUAGACUUGUGUUGACAAGUCAAAAAUAGAGCGCUAGGGCUCGUGGAGCUGAACAACUCAGGAUGUAGACUUGUUUGAAACAAGUUGAAGUCAGAGCGCAGAGGCUCGUAGAGCUGAGUAGCUCAAGUUGCAGCUGACCCCCCUUUGCGAGCCGCUAGACUUGUUGAAAACAAGUCAAAAUCAGAGCGCAGAGGCUCAUAGAGCUGUAUAGCUCAAGUUGCAGCUGACCCGCCUUUACGAGCCGCUAGAAUUGUUGAAAACAAGUCGAAGUCAGAGCACAGAGGCUCGUAGAGCUGAGUAGCUCAAGUUGUAGCUGACCCGCCUUUGCGAGGCGCUAGUUGUAGGCAAAUACGAGUAGUCAGUAGUUGUCGAUAGGAAAUUUAUUAAUCAAAAAAGAAAGAUUAAGGCUGGUGGCCUGAGUACAGUGCCACUUAGUCGGCUGACUAUGGCUAGUAAUGACAUAGGUGCUCAAUGUUCCAGGAGUUUGCAAUUUCUUCGCCGAAGAGUUGUUGUAGCCUGUACGAUCCUGGUCUUGUGACUUUUGACACGAUGUAAGGCCCUUUCCAUGGGGAGUUGAGUUUAUGUAGCCCCGUUGUGUCUUGAAUGUGCUUGAGUACCAUGUCGCCAAUGGUGAAAGAACAUUCAUUGACGUUGCGAUCGUGAUAGAGACGUAGUCCUUCAAGGUAUCUUGUUGACUAUACGAGUGCUGCACAGUGUGAUUCUUCCAAGCUAUCGAGUUCUAAGCGUCUUGUUUCCUCUGCUACCCCUUCAUCGUAUUGCUCGACCGCAGGGGAUCUCCAUAUGACAUCAAUAGGAAGUAUGGCUUCUGACCCGUAAACAAGGAAGUAGGGCGAUUGCCCAGUAGGCUUCCACGGUUGAGUACGUAGCCCCUAGAGAACAUUGGUUAGUUCUUUGAGCCACUUGCCUCCUUUGGUGUUACCAAUGUCAUGCAGCCUUUUCUUGAGAGCUUCAAGUAACAUGCCAUUGGCACACUCAACCUAGCCAUAACCUCUUGGGUGAGCGACAGAGACCUAACAAACGUCGAUUCUGCUAUUCUCGUAGUACUCCCAGAACUCAUGAUUGUUGAAGUUUGAGCCCAGGUCUGUGAUGAUCCUGUUUGGAAAACCAUUGCGGUGAACUAUUUCGUCCACAAAGUCGAGGACUCUGUCAGCCUUGGAGCAGUUGACUGGUUUCACUUCGAUCCAUUUGCUGAACUUAUCGAUGGCGACAAGUACUCGAUUGAAUCCUUCUAGGGCUGUUGAGAGUGGACCAAUCAUGUCAAGCCCCCAGCAUGCGAAAGGCCAUGUUGGAGGUAUGGUGAUGAGUUUGUAGGCAGGGACAUGUUCUUGCUUGGCAAAAAACUGGCAGUCUUGACAUCUGCGGACUAGUUCCGCUGCAUCUGCCAGUGUAGUUGGCCAAUAAAAUUCUGUUCUGAAAGCUUUGCCUACUAUUCUUCUUGAGGAUGCAUGAUUCCUGUAGAUUCCUUUAUGUAUUUCCUCCAAGAUGUCCAUGCCGUCUUCACGAGUGAUGCAUUUCAUGAGUACUCCCGAUGACACUCCUCUUCUGUACAGUUUGUCUUCGACUAGAACGUAGCUUUAUCCUUGUUGUGAGACUUGUUCUGCCUGUGUCUUGUCAGAAGGUAGCUUGUGUUCUUUAAUGUAGUUGAUAAAAGGAGUCCUCCAGUCUACCUCGAUCAUCAUGAUUUCCCGGUCAAGUUCUGGUGGACCCUUGCUGGUAGGUGCUGGAUUUAUUUGUUCUGUUAUAGAUGGCUUGCGAAGUUCAUGAACAAAGAUACCUGCUGGGACUUCCGCGCAUGUGCAACCUAUUUUGGAUAAAAUGUCAGUAGCAACGUUGUUAUUACGGACCACAUUGUGGAACUCGAGGCCAGAGAACUUGUUCUCUAGUUUGUGAACUUCCCUACAGUAUGCGUCCAUUUUUUCCUUGCUGCGGUCCCACUCGUCGUUGACUUGAUUGAUGACUGCUAAUGAAUCACCAUAGACUAGUAAUCUUUUGAUGUCUAGUGAAAUUGCUAGGUGAAGAUCGUGUAGAAGUGCUUCAGACUCGGCUUCGUUAUUUGACGCUUCUCAAAAGAUUUGAAGAACAUACUUGAGUUGUUCACCUUUUGGGAAUAUUAAGAGUACUCCCGCACCAUCUCCUUUAAGCUUGAGAGAUCCGUCGAAGUACAUGACCCAGUGUUCAGGGCAUUCUACCGGUGUAGGUAAUUGGUUUUCCCUCCACUCACCAUGAAGUCGACUAGAGCUUGGGACUUAAUUGUUGUUCUAGGUUGAAAUUUUAAAGACAAUGCUCCGAGUUCUACUGCCCAUUUUUAGAUUAUUCCCGUGGCAUCCCGAUUGUGUAGGAUCUCGCCAAGGGGAAAUCCGUGAUGAUGGAUAUGUUGUGUUCCUAGAAGUAGUGUCGCAAUUUCCGCGAAGUGAGUAGUAUGGCAUAGAGUAGCUUCUGGACUGGUGGGUACCGUGUCUUAGAGUCCGAGAGUACUUCCUUGAUAAAGUACACUAGUAUCUAGACUUUGUAGACAUGGACUAGUUCAGAUCUUUCGACUACUAUUGCUAUGCUGACAACAUGAGUAGUUGCAGCGAUGUACAAGAGCAAGUCUUCGUUUGGUGUUGGAGCUGUGAGGAUCGGUGGCUUUGAAAAGAAGUCUUUCAGUUGUAAUAGAGCCUUGUCUACUUCCUCUGUCUAUUGAAACUUGUUUUGUCAUUUGAGUAAUUUGAAGAAAGGUAGACCCCGUUCUCCAAGUCUUGGCAUGAAUCUAAUUAGGGCCGCCAUGCAGCCUGUGAGCUUCUGCAUAUCUUUUAUGCCAGAUGGAGCUUGCAUGUUAGUAAUGGCAGAGAUUUCUCAGGAUUUGCUUCGAUGCCCCGAUGACUGAUGAUGAACCCGAGUAGUUUCCCCGAUGGUACGCUGAAAACGCAUUUGAUAGGAUUGAGUUUCCAUUGGAAUGCUCGCAAGCUUGUGAAAGUUUCUUCCAAGUCUACGAUCAAAUCAUCUCUAUUUCUGGUUUUGACUACUACAUCGUCCACGUAGGCUUCUACGAUGCGGUGUAGUUAUUUCUCAAAGCACACAUUUGAAUUGCACGUUGAUACGUUGCACCUGCGUUCUUCAGCCCAAAGGACAUUGUCUUGUAGCAGAAUGCUCCGAAAGGGGUGAAGAACGCGGUCUUGGCUUGAUCUUCUUCCUUGGGUGUUAUCUAGUGAUAUCCCGAAUAACAAUCAAGGAAACAGAGUAGUGCACAUCCGGCUGUGGAGUCGACUACUUGGUCGAUUCUGGGAAGCCCAAAGGGAUCUUCGGGACAAUAUUUGUUGAGGUCUGUGUAGUUGACAUACAUCCUCCACUCGUUGUUGUUCUUCUUUCGAACUAAAACUGGGUUGGCUAGCCAAUCAAGGUGAAAAACUUCCUUCAUAAAUCCUGUCGCGAGUAAUUUGGCUAGUUCUUUCUAAAUUCCGUCUCUUCUAUCUUGAGCGAAUCUUUGUAGUCGCUAUCUUUUUAGAGUAGCUUUAGGAUCGAUGUUGAGUGAAUGCUCGAUCAGUUCCUUGGGCACACCUGGCGUGUCGGCCGGUUUCCACGCGAAGAUGUCUCGAUUUACCUGAAGGAAACUGACAAGCACGCUUUCCUAUUUGGGAUCGAGCCCUGUUCCAACCAGGGCUGUUUUGGAUGAGUCGCCAAUCUCGAAGUCAAUGGUUUUGAAGUCCUUGUCGUUUGCUGGCUUGACUUUAGUAGCUCCCGACUUAUUUUGUGGAAUUUUGAGUUCUGCCGGGGUAAGCUUCUUUGACACGGUGAACACCUGUUGCAUGGAGCUGGGGACUUGAGAAGUCGCGGCUAUCUCAACAGCUUCCGUGUUGCAUUCAAAUGAUCAUCGCAGAUCUCCACGAAGGGAUAGUUCUCCUUUUGGUUCGAGCAUUUUCAGUACCAAAUAUAAGUAGUGUGGGAUGGCCAUGAACUUGGCCAGGGCUGGUCUUCCAAGGAUGGCAUGGUAAGAAGUCUCGAAGUCAGCCACCUCGAACUUGAUGUACUCUAUGUGGUAAUGCUCUUUGGUACCGAAAGUGAUAGAUAAAAUAACUUGUCCUAGUGGAAUAGCUACAUUGCCUGGGACGAUUCUGUAAAAGGGGGAAUCCGUUGGGGUAAGCAUUUCAGUGAUGUCAAGGCCCAUCUUGCUCAAAGUUUUGGCGAAAAUGAUGUUGAGGCCACUGCCACCGUUGAUGAGUACUUUGGUUAGUCUUGAGCCUGCGACAAUUAUGUCUAGUACCAGAGGAAAACACCCUUCUUCUGAGAAAUUGGUCCAUUGAUCCUUUCCGCUGAAAGUAAUGGGUACCUCAAGCCAUUUGAGGGGUGUGGGGUGGCUAGUUCGAUAGCCAUGAUUUCUCUGAGUACUAAUUUGUUGGAUCGCUUGGAGGCAGUGUCGGAAAUUCCGCCGAAAAUGACAUUGACAAUCUUAGACGCCGUCUGGAACUUGUCUUCGCCAUCUUCAGUUUCAUCCAUCUUGCCCUUGUCCUUAUUGUUGUUAUUGUUGUUGGCGGGAGGUUCUGGCAACUCCUGCAUAACUCUGCGAAGGCUGUAGCAUUUGAUUGCAGCGUGCUUGCUGUGUGGGUGCCAUGGACAUUGUUUCUUAAGUAGUUCAUUGAAUGAAGGGCCAUCAUUUCGUUUGUUUGGUCCUUUCUUUCUUGAGCUUGACAUUGCUGGAAUGGUAUUGUCCGAUUUCCGCUUGCAAUUCUGAUUGCCCGAAUAGUUAUUUCGGUGAUCGCCGUUGCGGUUUCUGUCUUGUUCUUGGUUGUUACCUUGGUUAUUGUUGUCACAUCCUCGAUUGCGGUGUGAGUCAAAACUUUCACGCUCCUUAUCUUCUUCGUCUGCCCAUGACUGAGCCAUAAUUUUGAGUUCUUUGACAUCCGCUAUACGGCGUUUGCCAAAAUCUUGGAACAUGCGUCGGUCCUAGAGACCAUUUUGAAAACAUUCAAUCACAUCUGCUUCAGAGAUGUCGACAAUUGUAGCAAUUUUUCCGAAAAAACGGUGUAGGUAGCUACGUAGGGACUCAUCCUUUUGCUGCUUAACCUGAGCCAAGUCGAUUCUGUUGCCAGGGCGUUGCAUAGCUCUCGCGUAGUUGCUUAUAAAAGCUUUCUUUAGAUUAGAUCAAGAGUCGAUGGAAUUAGGCUUCAAAGAUUCGAGCCAAGUUAGUGGCGCUGGUUCCAUGCAUACGGGAAAGUGGAUGACUUUUGUAUCAUCGCUUCUGCCUGCAGCUUGGACUGCUAAUGCGUAGCAGCAGAACCACUGAACUGGAUCUUAUUUGCCAUCAUACUUAGUGAUGCCCAUUGGUUUGAAUUUGUCUAGAAAAUUAGUCUGCAUGAUUCGUCUUGUGAAAGCGGGGGAAGUGGUCAUUGUCAUCACCCUCAGCUUCACGUUCACGACGGCGAUCGUUGAUUAUAUCCCGAGCAUCACAGUUGUGAUUUAAUGUUUCUCAAAGAUCACUGAUGUGCGAGGGUUCUGAAUUUGCUCUACAGUGACGUGGACCUUCCAUGGAGGCCGUACAACUACCCUCAGUUGCAUCUUUGUUUUGUCUUGGAGCUUCGAGUAUGCCCCUAUGUUGUCUUGGUUCUUGAUGUGGUUGGUUUGAGAGUCUUGUAUUGUCUCUGCUAUCAUCAUGGUGACUUGGGUUGCAGGGCACGGAUGGGAUUGGUCUUUCCUUGUCGAAGAGUUUGUAUGUGUGUUCUACCAAGUAUAACAAGAGAUCAUUGUAUUUGUUUGGUGGCAUUGAACAGGCGAUAAGGUCGAUAGAAGCGAUAGCAGCAAGUGGCGUGUUAUGUUCUCUUGUUUGAACUGCUUCGAAUGCUCUGUCAAGGUUCACAAUGGGAACUCUUGCGGAUAGAAGUCGACGAUGUUCCGCUCUCUAAGUGUUUCUUGGUCUCCUUUGACUUCUCUGGUUGCUAGUUUUGCCCUCCGGGACGUCAGCUGAUAAGUCAUCUUGGGGGACUUCUUCAAUUUGGCGUUCCCGACGAGGAGUUCUUUGGUGUUGAUCGCUAGUUCCUGUUCCAUCAGCUGGUGAAACAAUGAAAAAGAGUUCUCUAUCCGAAGAGUAGCUUCCAGAGCUGGAUGUUAUGACUUCAGUAGAGCCAUCUUCUUCACGGAUCAGUGAGAGUAGAGUACCCUCUUGAUAUGAGAGGAUAUCCAAGUGUGCGAUGAGGCGUGACUCGUUGUCUUGAGCAAGGAAUGAUGGCUUCAUGCCCGGCCAGUAGACGAAUCUGCCUUGCGGUGUUGAUGUGAUUACCAGGCCCUGCUGCGAACCUGAUAAGGGGGGUUCUUCAAGAGAAUUCGAGUAAGACUUGUGGUCCUCAAUUGACUCUAAUCCGAAUUGGACUUUGGAUACAGCUUUUUGAUGAACCGUGACCACGUUUCGGAGUCCGAGCGGGAAUUGGCUUGGAGUUGUAUCCGGUCCAUAUGAUGGCUGAAUUGCCUGCUUGCGCGGACUAGUCUGAGUUGUAGUUGAGUCCAAGUUGUGGUCGAACCCGGUGUUAUUCAAAUCGAAAAAUUUGAAUUUCUCGACGAAAUCUUCCGCCUCAUGUCAACAAGAGUUUCCGCCGAGAUGUUUCUUCUCCAGUUCUUCGAUGACGCGGUGUUGGAAACCUCCAAUGCCAUCAGCAAUGCAGAGCCAGGGGCCGAAAACAAAUGUUGUGCCUGUUUUGAACACGAGCACAGCCUUGAUGAUGACUGAAGCCAUCGAUCUGAUGCGAAGAGUUUCGGCGAUUUUCCCUACCUGGUGCACCAGCUGUCGAUGUUUUAACCCAGCAACCUAUCAAGGGAGUACCCGAGAUAGAGUUUUGGUUGGUGGGUGUCGCCAAAAUCAAGGAGUCGAUGGUGAUGCAGGAACACAAUUUAGACAGGUUCGGGUCGCUAGAUCGCGUAAUACCCUACGUCCUGUGUGUUGUAUGCUUGUAUUCGAUUGAACCUGUUUUGAGGGGGUCCUUGACCGCCCUUAUAUAUCAGGGAAGCAGGUUUACAGGGUAGACUUUGGUACAAAAGUACUAGUCAGACAAGACUACAGAGUCCUACUCUAACUCGGUAGAGUAGUUUCUUUGUAUUCCGACUAGUCCUUCAGAAGUUCCAUGUAGUCUACAUUGCCAUGUAGGCUUCAUAUCCUGAUACGUCUCAAGUACAUCCCCUUGAGUGGAUCCGUACAAACCCUCUGGUGGGCCCGGGCAUGUAUGGUCGCCACCAUCUGCGAUGCAAACCCAGGAGCUGAAGAUGAACGUCGCGCCCGCUUCGAACGCAACAAUUGGCUUGAUGAUGACUUGAGCCAUCGAGUUCGAUAGUGGAUUCUCAACGAGAUCCCUACCUUGCACGCCAACUAUCGAUGUUUAGACUCGGCAACCUACCAAGGGGGGUGCCCGAGGUAGUGUUUGGUUAGUGGGGCUCGCCGAGAUCAGGAACUCGAAGGUGAACCCAGACACACGAUUUAGACAGUUCGGGCUGCUAGAUUGCGUAAUACCCACGUCGUGUGUGUUGAUUGGAUUGAAUUGCUUUGGAGGGGGUCCCUGCGUCGCCUUAUAUUGCUGGCGGUAGGGUUACAGAUCGGUUGUUUACAAGAAUACUAGUCGGAUUCAACUAGGUGAGUCUUACUCUAAUUGCUACAAGUUGUUUUCCUAAUCCUCAACUAGUUCCUAUCCUACCACGUAAACUACGUCGUCCUGUACCGUAGCCUCCAUGUCAGACACGUCUCGGUAUCCAGCUCUGUAUCUAGGACUGUCCAAACCUUCUGGUGGGCCCAUAGAUGUAUGUACGACAGUGAGGGAGCCCUCGUGCCGCCCCGGGGAGGGUAGACCACACCAGUGGACUCGACAGCGAUAGUGGUGACCGCCACCUGGCGGCAUGGGCGAGGCCCUUGCGCACGGGUCAGGCUCCCUAGCGUGCAGUCCCCGCAGGAGCGGUGGCGUGGGGCAGGGCCAGCUCUGGCCACAUGCAGUAGAGGCGAUGGUCGGGGGCCCAACGCCAGAGAAGGCCCAACAGCUAAUACAUAAAGCAAAGAUCUUGCUUAAGGGUGGUAAUGGAAUAUGAUUCUCAUGCCUUCUUUACCAUCUUAUUUAGGUCCCGUUUGGAUACUCUCUGCUAAAGUUUAGCACCUGUCACAUCAGAUAUUUGGAUGCUAAUUAGGAACAUUAAAUAUAGGCUAAUUACAAAACUAAUUGUACAGAUGGAGUCUAAUUCGCGAGACGAAUCUAUUAAGCUUAAUUAGUCCAUGAUUUGACAAUGUGGUGCUACAGUAACCAUUUGCUAAUGAUGGAUUAAUUAGGCUUAAUAGAUUCGUCUUGCAAAUUAGCACAAGAUUCUGUAAUUAGUUUUAUAAUUAGCUCAUAUUUAGUCCUCCUAAUUAGCAUUCGAAUAUCCGAUGUGACACUACUAAAAUUUAGCACCUAGUAUCCAAACACCCCCUAGCUCUAUCUCCUCGUAUAUAGUACUCAGCCUAUUCCUGCCCUCCAGCAGGCCGCCGUGAUAGAGGAGUCGAGGACGAGGAGAUAGGCGGCCGUCAAUGCAUCACUGCGAAUUUGAGAGAGAAACUGAGACCCCGACAGGAAAACCCUCGACGUUGUGCGUGGCUUUGGCAUAAGUGAUCGCCAGCCAGCCUCGUCUUCGAUUCGACGCCGGCAACGACGUCUGGGCCGGCUCGGCUCCAGCGUGCGUCAAUGUGUUGUGAGUUAGAUCUUCAAUUUAUUUACAUAGUCAGCGAUCAGCCUCAUUAAUCAUAGUUUUAGCAUGUUAAUUUUUCGGUUUUAAACUUUGAAUUCUAGCAACGAUUAUUCACUUUCCUGUAUAAUUUAGGUAUUAGAUGUUGCCAAAUAAGCAAUUUGUCAGGUGCUUAGGAAAACAAACUAUUUAGUUCAAAGGGUCCAUAAUAUCCGGUUCGCUCGAGGCCCCUCAAAAUUAUAGUCGGCCCUGGCGUGGGGUCGGGCUCCUCGACGGGCGGUCGCCGCGGCGGCGCGGAUCAGGCUACCCGGCAAGCGGCGGUGGGCUCCUCGGCGGGUGGGCCCCCCACGGAGGCAGCGUAACAGAUCCGGACCAAGCUAAGGAAGGUCGAAUAUGGCGUGGGCGGCCGGAGGCCACCCUCGCCGGCAACGAGCAAGCGACCAUGGCAACCUUGAAGUUGAAGGAAGGCGAGGGAAAGGAGGAGUAGAGGGAGGAAGAGAGCGCGUGGGGCUGACUUCGACCCGCCACCCGCCGGCCCGCAGCGGGCGGGCUUGGGCUGUCGCCCCCGAGUCGCCAAGGAAGGCGGUGCGGGGGUCAGGGAGCGGAAUCCGCAAGUCAUCUGACUUUGUACGCUAACGUAGCUUUUGAAGUAAGCUACAAUAAUUCCUAACUCUGUCUCAUUCCUUUCGCUGCAAAGGUCACCAGACAUCGGCUUCGAUCGGAAGGUGCAGAGUCGUUCAGCGUGUUGCCAUGGAGCCGGUCAGCCGGAGCUGCAGGCGGCGCUGGUGUAUUCAUCCUGUCGCCGGGGAGCCCUCGCCCGUGGCCGCCUUCGCCCGGACGCGGCAGUCGUCGCCCCUGCUCGCCGACCGGAGGGAGAGGAGGACUGAGGCCGAACUGAGGCCGAUCUGUGGCGCUAGCUUCCAGUCCAGCUAUAUAUACCUUCGGGAUUAUCGGAGAUCAACACAUCAUGUACCUAUACAACAUUCAUGACAUGAUGACAUACUCAUAUUCUCACAGCUUAGCUUGUUGCGUCCUGUCUAGUUCAGUGUACCAUUUUUUUUGUCAAUUUUUAUCAGUUAGGGGGCGGUUGGAUGUCAGGGCUAAACUUUAGCCCUGUCACAUCACACGUUCGGAUAUAAAUUAGGAGGAUUAAAUAUGAGCUAAUUAUAAAACUAAUAACAGAACCCCUAGGCUAAAUUGUGAGACGAAUCUAUUAAUCCUAAUUAAUCCAUCAUUAACGAAUGGUUACUGUAGCACUACAUUGUCAAAUCAUGGACUAAUUAGGCUUAAUAGAUUCGUCUCGCGAUUUAGCCUAGAGGUUGUGCAAUUAGUUUUGUAAUUAGACUAUGUUUAAUACUCCUAAUUAGUGUCCAAACAUCACAGGGGCUAAAAUUUAACCCCUCCCUGCCAAAUUUCAUGAAGUUUUGAUUGGUGCGUAUGGUGUGGCUAUUAUGCGUCAUUCAGUCGUGCUCAUGGUGAUUGGUGAAGGCCCAAGUCCAUUUGUUCGUAGCAGCCGCAUCGAAGAUUUUUGUACUAAACAAACCAUGUAUGAAUCUGUCAGAGUGAAGUGAGCCAGAUCCGAAUCAGAGGGGCGGCGACGUUGACGCUCCUCCAAUCAUUCACUUGAGUCUCCACGCUCCACUCCAGCGUGUGAGAUAUCAUCCCCUCGUGGCCUAAUCUCCACCUCGGUGUUAGCAUUUCUUAUCCGCCUUGUGCGACCCAAACCAACUCUUCAUAAUCCAUGGCACUCACCCUCCCAAGCCGUCAAAGUCCUAGGGAAAACAAACACCCUUGCGAAGCUUGUGCCCUGCCAAACUGUCUCCUCGUUUACUUUGCUUUCUGUGACGGUUGGCGUGCUGUUUCGUCAGAGCAAAAGCUUAACAAGAACACUCGAUUCCAAAUUCCAAUGCCGUUUUACGCUGCCAGCGAGCCAAAUGACAGAUUCAAAAAAGUUUCUUUUUACUUCGAAAAAGAUUCCUUUCCAUGCACAAACACACAGGUUUGUUAAUCCACCGGACGCGCCUACUCAAUUUCACACGCAGUGCUCGUGAACUGACUGAUAACAAUACAAGGAGCUCAAGGAAGGAAGAGCAUCUAUAAAUCCGCGCGGAGACUUGGCUCGUCCUAAACCCCUCGCGGUGCAAUACCACCGUGAGUUCAUCACGUCCACUGCUCCGAAAAAACCCUUAUCUGGAUUGCAAUCCGUCUUCCAUCCAUCCAUCUCAAGAUAAAGAGCACCCGGCCGAGGCCAAAACCCUCCUUCCACCUACCAAUCUGAAGAGUCCAAUGCUUUUGUGACGCUACACAUUGCUACGCAUCGGAGUAUCAGAUUGUUGUGGUUCAGGAGUCGUAAUCGCAAAGGUUGUGUGAUUUUUUUUCGUUUGUUAAACCAAGAGUUUUGCAGAAAAAGAUUGCGGAAUCUUGUUUUGCGCACCCACAUUAUUUGGGAGCUGUGACAUGGAUCUGCCUGCCCCACCUACCAAUUAUCCCAAAACUUUAUCCUCCAUUAUCCUAUGCCGUCGUCGUCCUGACGCGGGGGCGGCGAGGAGGCGGGAGGCGAUAAACAAUUGCGCCAGCCAGAGGCUCUCCCGUCCAAUACUAUCUUCUCCACGGGGCUCACCAGUGCCCGGCCACCACCACCACCACUCGCUGCUGCAGCCCGCCCCACCCGGACCCGGGCGCGACCGAGUCGUCGCGAGAUCCAGCGCCGUCGUCGCGCCAGCGCCGCUGCCGCCCCCGCUGCUGCUGCCGGAGAUGCCGAGCCCGACGAUCCGGAGGCUCGACGUGGCCUCGCCGGUGCCGGCGGACAUCGACAUCGCCAAUUCCGUCGAGCCGCUCGGCAUCGUCGACAUCGCGGCAGAGCUCGGCCUCGGGCCCGAGCACUACGACCUCUACGGCAAGUACAAGGCCAAGGUGCGUUCUUGAUUUGGUCCCUCGUGGUGUCUGCUGCGGUUUGAUCGGAUCUUGAGCCGCCGUUUUCUCGCGUGCCGGUUGCAGGUGUUGCUGUCGGUUCUUGAUGACAUCAAGGAGCAGCAGGACGGGUACUACGUCGUGGUGGGCGGCAUCACGCCGACGCCUCUCGGGGAGGGCAAGUCAACUACCACCGUCGGCCUGUGCCAGGCUCUGGGCGCCUUCCUUGAUAAGAAGGUGAGAUUUGUACUGCUAAGUUUGCUUGAGCGAAUUGUACGAUCGUCGACGAGGCAGUUGACUGAUAAUCGUCCAAACCUUGCGAGCUGAUAGGGAACCAUGGAUCCUGCCAGAAAUUAAACUGUUUGAUGCGAUCUUGGACUGGAUUGUGGAAUGCUAUCUUGUUGCUCCCACUUAGGCAGUGAAUAGCGAUGCGUUUACAUUGGAUAUACUGCCUUUUUUGUUAUGGCAAUCCGGAUUUACGAUUCAGUUAUACCAGUAGGUCUUCUUGAGCAAGCUAUGUUGAAAGUGAUGGAACACUCAGUUGCUCUUGAUCUUUUGUUCCUGUAAAAAUUCAGGAGGAAAGAUCUGUGAAAUAUUUUGUUCUGAAUGAUCUGUAUGAGUCGAACUGCACAUUUUCAGAGCUUAUAGUUGAACUACAUCUUUAUGCUCAUGUAUUUGCUCAAUUGCUCACAUGAGUCAUAUUCACAAUUCUCUUUCUCAACCUAUUAUAUAUUUAUAUGUGCCAAGUCCCUUCCGAGUUCCAGCGAACACUGCCUUGUCUACCAAUCAGUAGUUCAGUACUGUUGGCUUGCUUUUAUGGCUGGUGUAAAUCUUUGGGUCCUUUAUCUACUUUUCAUGCGGCUGAUAGGCUGAACCUUUAUUUAUGUUGCUACAUUAUUGCGAGGGCAACCAUAUGUUCUUAUAGAACAACCUCGGACUAUAAAGGAACCCUGAGCUUGUGAAAAUCAUCUCAUGCAUAUUCAAGAAAUUAAAGGAAGUCAUCUCAUGUAUUGAUAUAUUGUUGUUAUUAUAGGUUGUCACAUGCCUCCGUCAGCCAUCACAAGGGCCUACCUUUGGAAUCAAGGGAGGUGCAGCUGGUGGUGGCUACAGCCAGGUUAUACCCAUGGAUGAGUUCAAUCUUCAUCUGACAGGCGACAUUCAUGCAAUUACGGCUGCAAACAACCUUCUCGCUGCUGCUAUUGAUACAAGGAUUUUCCAUGAAAAUUCUCAGUCCGACAAAGCACUGUUCAACAGAUUGUGUCCGGCAAACAAAGAAGGCAAGAGGCACUUUGCUGAUGUAAUGCUCAGACGCCUUACAAAGCUUGGCAUUUCUAAGACAGACCCCAAUGAGCUUACACCAGAUGAAGUUAGGCGUUUUGCAAGGCUUGAUAUUGACCCUGAGUCCAUUACAUGGAGACGGGUGAUGGAUGUCAAUGACCGUUUCCUGAGGAAAAUUACUAUCGGACAAGGCCCUGAUGAAAAAGGUAUGGUGAGAGAAACAGGCUUUGACAUAUCAGUAGCUAGUGAGAUAAUGGCUGUGUUAGCUCUUACAACUUCCCUUGCCGACAUGAGAGAGAGGCUUGGAAGAAUGGUGAUAGGGAACAGCAAGUCAGGUGAGCCGAUUACUGCUGAUGAUCUUGGUGUUGGAGGUGCCUUGACUGUCCUAAUGAAAGAUGCUAUUCAUCCAACCCUCAUGCAAACUCUUGAAGGCACACCAGUGUUAGUACAUGCUGGACCGUUUGCUAACAUUGCUCAUGGAAACUCUUCAAUUGUUGCUGAUAAGAUUGCUUUGAAGUUGGUUGGGAAGGGUGGCUUUGUUGUUACUGAGGCAGGUUUUGGUGCUGAUAUCGGAACUGAGAAGUUCAUGGAUAUAAAGUGUAGGUACAGUGGAUUGGUGCCACAGUGUGCUAUUAUUGUGGCCACAAUUCGAGCUCUUAAAAUGCAUGGAGGGGGCCCAGAUGUUGUGGCUGGGAAGCCUCUAGAUCAUGCAUAUGUGAGCGAAAAUGUGGCCCUUGUUGAAGCUGGAUGUGUCAAUCUUGCUAAACAUAUAUCAAACACAAGGGGUUAUGGAGUUAACGUUGUAGUUGCAAUCAACAAAUUUGCAACAGAUACUGAAGCAGAAAUGGAUGUGGUGCGAAAUGCAGCUAUGGCUGCUGGAGCUUUUGAUGCUGUCGUCUGCACACACCAUGCCCAUGGUGGUAGAGGAGCGGUUAGUUCCCUUUCUUUCUAUUGAAUAUAGACAGCAGCCCUGUUUUGUCGGAAUACUUAACUGUAAAUCUGCUCUAAUGUCAACAAAACUUCGUUAUUUUUCAACUUGCCAAGCUAGUACAAAAGAACUGCAGUCUUAUAUACUUUUAUGUGGCUAUGUCAGAUUAUAGUAAUUCAUGGCUUCAUUGUUAUCUAAAAUGGUAUGAAUGUCAGAAUUGUGGGAAUUAAUAUAAUCAUCUAAUUAGAUCCUUCCGUUUAACUUCUUUUCAGGUUGAACUUGGACUCGCAGUUCAACGAGCAUGUGAAAGCCAGGCAGAGCCUCUGAAAUUUUUGUAUCCUUUGGAAUCUAGCAUAAAGGAGAAGAUUGAAUCCAUAGCUAGGUCUUAUGGUGCUAGCGGCGUCGAAUACUCAGAACAGGUACUUCCUUUGUGUUUGAGAUUUGAUUCAUUCAUAAAGUCAUAAUAUUUUGCCAUACCCUGCUCUGCUGACUUCUAUCUGACUUUGCUGCAGGCUGAGAAGCAGAUUGAGAUGUACACCAAGCAAGGCUUCUCCAACCUCCCCAUCUGCAUGGCGAAAACCCAGUACUCGUUCUCCCACGUUCCCUCCAUGAAGGGUGCCCCGACCGGCUUCGUUCUACCGAUAAGAGACGUGAGGGCCAGCAUUGGAGCUGGGUUCAUCUACCCGCUCGUGGGCACCAUGAGCACGAUGCCCGGCCUUCCCACAAGACCCUGCUUCUACGAGAUCGACAUCGACACUGCCACCGGGAAGGUCAGGGGCCUGUCAUAAAUUGAAGCUCAGUUGGUGCCAUUCAGAGACUGCAUUGCAUCUGCGUUGGACAGAAUUUUGGUGCAUUCCUUGAGCUGAAUAAUCGUAAUAAGUAGCCGUUCCAGGCUUCCUGAAAAUCCAGCGUUACCUGUUUCUUGGGUAACCUGAAGACUGUAAAUGUGCUCUAACCGUGCUGUUUAGACUCUGUUCCUGUGCCCCAUGUCUCAAAACCUGCAUUCCGUUUCCAAUUGUUCCAUCCUUAUAGUGACUAUUUUCCAUGAGUUGUCUUUGAAUUUCUUGAUCGGUGAUUGGUAAAGUGAAGUCAGUGCUGAGGCUGUUGGUCUGACUGGGGCGAUGAGAUUGUCACCUGAUCUCACACACACACAAAAGGAAAUAAGGCAUUUUAGAGAUUUUGGUUACCCGACACGGCCCAUUUUCUAGUUGUAGAUCGUCCGCGCAGACCGCACGCCCGGUGGGAUACUCCAGGCCGCUUCUCGUCAGUUUGGGCCUCUGCUUUCAGAACAAAAUUAUUGGACAGUAACUAAUUCCCCAAAAAAAUUGCAGACAUUAUGCAAAUCUGAUCAUAUUUACAAUUCCCAAUUACUAGCAUACAUAAUUAGAAAUAUAUCCGCCAUCAAAUCAAAGAUGCCUGUUGAAGACUAUCCAGAUCGGCGAUCAUAUCUUGAAACAGGCUGCGCCGUAUCACUUGCAAUUCUGCUGCGCAUCAACGCGCUAGUUAGUCACGGGCAGCUAGAAACGGCUUUCUCUAUCAGUUUACCCCUCUUCUUUUUCCCUCCGCCGCGUUGGUCCAACGGAAACUCCAGCACGGAAAAGCGAACGCGCCACAAAAGCCCACAACGACCAACCCGUUAGUAGCCGCGACGAGUCAACGGGCGGGUCGCCGACGCGGCGCGGAGCGAGCCACAGACGCAGCCAUGAGCUGGGGCAAGAGAGUCAAGGCCUCGCCGCGAGGGCACCGGCACCGGCACCACCAACGCCCCCGUCCGAAUUGACCCGAGAUCACAUGGCCGCUUUGCCUGUUUCCUCGAAGGAGAACAGGUUUCGGUUACUGUCGCGAGCAGGAUCCCGUCCCUGUCGAUCCUUGAUGGAAUUAGGAAUGCCGGGAAUGAAAACGCUUUUCCCUCCACGACAGGUCGGUCGGUGUGGGGAUCGAUCACCUGACUAGUCCAGGAAACGAAAUUAUUGGCAGUCCACAGGAAAAUGGGUAGCAGCAAUCAAGCUGGGAAAACUCUAAGAGACGAAUUCGUCAGAUAUACCAUCGGCACCGGCAGGCAGUACUGUGUGCCAUUUCAUCGUGAAGGUAACAUCUGACAGGCAAUUCUGCAACGUAACAUGCACAAAAAAAAAA